AUAUUUACAAUGCUGAAUAAAUAGAAAACAAGUUGAUUUGAAGAUUUGAGAAAUAGCAAAACGUUUAGUUUUUUUUGUCUCAGUUCCAGCCUUACCUGAAGCUCAUCUACAACCCCUCAGCUACCGUAUGUAUACAUUUAUGAUUUAACAUCAACAAAAUACCACAAUGCAAAUAUGUUAUGUGAGAUUUUAUCUUUUUUCUUAAUGAAGAAAUAUACUUUACACAUGUUUUAAAUGUUUAUCUGUUCUUUUCCCUGCAGAAUAAAAUCUCAUUUGAAUAUGGGAUAACAACACUUCUCCCAUCGUUCAUGAAGGUAAGAAAUUACUAAUGACAUUGUUGUAUCUGUAUUCCUACAAUAAAAUAAUGUAUUUACUUUCUUAAACCAUGAUAUGAUUGAUCUAUCUGCAGGCUGAAGAGACAAAGACUUGGGAAGAGGAAGGAAAAUAAUAUGGUGGAUACAAGGUGUGUUAAACACUU
Molecule: long non-coding RNA, 478 nt
Filed under: Oncorhynchus kisutch (coho salmon)
Lineage: Eukaryota; Metazoa; Chordata; Actinopteri; Salmoniformes; Salmonidae
Description: lncRNA (ENSOKIG00005028074.1)
Source: RNAcentral